GGAUCAGUACGCUGGUCAUGCCUUUGGUAUGUACUGGUGUUACUGGUUCCUACCUUCUGACGAACCGUCAUGUCAUUAAUUUGGUGUGGCGGGAAAUCAGGACUGUUACUUUGAAAAAAUUAGAGUGUUUAAAGCAGGCUCGCGCUUGAAUACAUUAGCAUGGAAUAAUGAAAUAGGACGUUCGAUCCUAUUUUGUUGGUUUCUAGGAUUGACGUAAUGAUUAAUAGGGAUAGUUGGGGGCAUUAGUAUUCAAUUGUCAGAGGUGAAAUUCUUGGAUUUAUUGAAGACUAACUACUGCGAAAGCAUUUGCCAAGGAUGUUUUCAUUAAUCAAGAACGAAAGUUAGGGGAUCGAAGACGAUCAGAUACCGUCGUAGUCUUAACCAUAAACUAUGCCGACUAGGGAUCGGAUGAUGCUAAUUUUUUAAUGACUCAUUCGGCGCCUUACGGGAAACCAAAGUGUUUGGGUUCCGGGGGGAGUAUGGUCGCAAGGCUGAAACUUAAAGGAAUUGACGGAAGGGCACCACCAGGGGUGGAGCCUGCGGCUUAAUUUGACUCAACACGGGGAAACUCACCAGGUCCAGACAUAGUUAGGAUUGACAGAUUGAGAGC
RNAcentral lists this ribosomal RNA (610 nucleotides) under Glomus sp. MS. Its description in RNAcentral is "SSU rRNA". It matches the Rfam family "Eukaryotic small subunit ribosomal RNA", at positions 647 to 1255 of the family's 1831-position model. Lineage: Eukaryota; Fungi; Glomeromycota; Glomeromycetes; Glomerales; Glomeraceae. The record is from RNAcentral.